Molecule: ribosomal RNA, 1431 nt
Filed under: uncultured bacterium
Lineage: Bacteria
Description: bacterial SSU rRNA
Rfam family: Bacterial small subunit ribosomal RNA
Source: RNAcentral
UCAUGGCUCAGAAACGUACGCUGGCGGCACGCCUAACACAUGCAAGUCGAACGAAGUAGCAAUACUUAGUGGCAGACGGGUGAGUAACAUGUGGGUAUCUGCCCUUUGGCCUGGAAUAACACGAGGAAACUUGUGCUAAUACCGGAUAAGUCUUUACGGAGAAAGCUUUAUGCACCAUUGGAUGAGCCUGCACUUGAUUAGUUUGUUGGUAGGGUAAUGGCCUACCAAGACUGUGAUCAAUAGCUGAUUUGAGAGGAUGAUCAGCCACAUUGGGACUGAGACACGGCCCAAACUCCUACGGGAGGCAGCAGUGGGGAAUCUUGCACAAUGGAGGAAACUCUGAUGCAGCGAUGCCGCGUGAGUGAAGAAGGCCUUUGGGUUGUAAAGCUCUUUCGUCGGGGAAGAAAAUGACUGUACCCGAAUAAGAAGGUCCGGCUAACUUCGUGCCAGCAGCCGCGGUAAUACGAAGGGACCUAGCGUAGUUCGGAAUUACUGGGCUUAAAGAGUUCGUAGGUGGUUGAAAAAGUUGGUGGUGAAAUCCCAGAGCUUAACUCUGGAACUGCCAUCAAAACUUUUCAGCUAGAGUUUGAUAGAGGAAAGCAGAAUUUCUAGUGUAGAGGUGAAAUUCGUAGAUAUUAGAAAGAAUACCAAUUGCGAAGGCAGCUUUCUGGAUCAUUACUGACACUGAGGAACGAAAGCAUGGGUAGCGAAGAGGAUUAGAUACCCUCGUAGUCCAUGCCGUAAACGAUGUGUGUUAGACGUUGGAAAUUUAUUUUCAGUGUCGCAGCGAAAGCGAUAAACACACCGCCUGGGGAGUACGACCGCAAGGUUAAAACUCAAAUGAAUUGACGGGGACCCGCACAAGUAGUGGAGCAUGUGGUUUAAUUCGAAGAUACGCGCAGAACCUUACCAACACUUGACAUGUUCGUCGCGACUCUAAGAGAUUAGAGUUUUCGGUUCGGCCGGACGAAACACAGGUGCUGCAUGGCUGUCGUCAGCUCGUGUCGUGAGAUGUUGGGUUAAGUCCCGCAACGAGCGCAACCCUCACUUUUAGUUGCCAUCAUUAAGUUGGGCACUCUGAAAGAACUGCCAGUGAUAAGCUGGAGGAAGGUGGGGAUGACGUCAAGUCCUCAUGGCCCUUACGUGUUGGGCUACACACGUGCUACAAUGGUAUCUACAACAGGAAGCAAGACUGCGAAGUUGAGCAAAUCCCUAAAAGAUACCUCAGUUCGGAUUGCACUCUGCAACUCGAGUGCAUGAAGCUGGAAUUACUAGUAAUCGUGGAUCAGCGUGCCACGGUGAAUGCGUUCCCGGGUCUUGUACACACCGCCCGUCACACCAUGGGAGUUGGUUCUACCUUAAGGCAAGGUUUUAAACCCUUGACCACGGUAUAGUCAGCGACUGGGGUGAAGUCGUAACAAGGUAACCGUA